GGCUCCAUAGUGUAGUGGUUAGCACGUCUGCUUUACACGCAGAAGAUCCUGGGUUCCCACCUCAGAUGAAGUCA
RNAcentral lists this transfer RNA (74 nucleotides) under Pteropus alecto (black flying fox). It matches the Rfam family "tRNA". Rfam says of the family: Transfer RNA (tRNA) molecules are approximately 80 nucleotides in length. Their secondary structure includes four short double-helical elements and three loops (D, anti-codon, and T loops). Further hydrogen bonds mediate the characteristic L-shaped molecular structure. tRNAs have two regions of fundamental functional importance: the anti-codon, which is responsible for specific mRNA codon recognition, and the 3' end, to which the tRNAs corresponding amino acid is attached (by aminoacyl-tRNA synthetases). tRNAs cope with the degeneracy of the genetic code in two manners: having more than one tRNA (with a specific anti-codon) for a particular amino acid; and 'wobble' base-pairing, i.e. permitting non-standard base-pairing at the 3rd anti-codon position. The record is from Rfam by way of RNAcentral. Lineage: Eukaryota; Metazoa; Chordata; Mammalia; Chiroptera; Pteropodidae.